GAUGAACGCUGGCGGCGUGCUUAACACAUGCAAGUCGAACGAACAGGCCCUGCGUUUGUGGCGUGCUCGAGUGGGGCGCGCGGGAGAAACACGUGUGUAAACUGCCCCUGUAAGAGGGGGAACUCUUGGAGAAACGGGCUAAUACCGCGUAGGAGCUCCUGAACCAUAGGGGGGAAUGGAAAAAUUCGGCGGUUGGGGCUGGACUCGCGGCUUAUGCGCUUGUUGGUGGGGUUGUGGCUUUCAAGGGCUUUGACGGGUAGCCGGCCUGGGAGGGUUGCCGGCCACCUGGGUACUGAGAUACGGACCAGACUGCUACGGUAGGCAGCAGUGGGGAAUAUAGCAGAAUGGGCGGAAGCCUGAUGCGACGACGCCGCGUGCGUGAUGCCGUCUUUCUGGUGAUAAACCGCUGUCUCCGGUGACGAAGCGGUAGUGACGGUACUGGGUAAGGAAGCCCCGGCUAACUACGUG
RNAcentral lists this ribosomal RNA (468 nucleotides) under uncultured bacterium. Its description in RNAcentral is "partial 16S ribosomal RNA". It matches the Rfam family "Bacterial small subunit ribosomal RNA", at positions 28 to 507 of the family's 1533-position model. The record is from RNAcentral.